UACGGAGGAUCCAAGCGUUAUCCGGAAUCAUUGGGUUUAAAGGGUCCGUAGGCGGGUUUAUAAGUCAGUGGUGAAAGUUUGCGGCUCAACCGUAAAAUUGCCAUUGAUACUGUAGAUCUUGAAUUAGUGUGAAGUGGUUAGAAUAAGUAGUGUAGCGGUGAAAUGCAUAGAUAUUACUUAGAAUACCAAUUGCGAAGGCAGAUCACUAACACUAUAUUGACGCUGAGGGACGAAAGCGUGGGGAGCGAACAGG
Molecule: ribosomal RNA, 253 nt
Filed under: uncultured bacterium
Lineage: Bacteria
Description: partial 16S ribosomal RNA
Rfam family: Bacterial small subunit ribosomal RNA
Source: RNAcentral